Molecule: long non-coding RNA, 742 nt
Filed under: Nicotiana tabacum (common tobacco)
Lineage: Eukaryota; Viridiplantae; Streptophyta; Magnoliopsida; Solanales; Solanaceae
Description: long non-coding RNA (NTAB_LNC011451)
Source: RNAcentral
UUUUCCAUUCAGUCAGCAUUAGGAAUUUAAAACCCUAAACUAAACUCUUUCCAUUCAGUCAGCAUUAGGGUUUUAAACCCUAAACUGAACUUUUUCCAUUCAGUCAGCAUUAGGGUUUUAAACCCUAAACUGAACUCUUUCCUUUGGUCAGCAUUAGGGUUUUAAACCCUAAACUGAACUUUUUCCAUUCAGUCAGCAUUAGGGUUUUAAACCCUAAACUGAACUCUUUUCCAUUCAGUCAGCAUUAGGGUUUUAAACCCUAAACUGAACUCUUUUCCAUUCAGUCAGCAUUAGGGUUUUAAACCCUAAACUGAACUCUUUCCUUUAAUCAGCAUUAGGGUUUUAAACCCUAAACUGAACUUUUCCAUUCAGUCAGCAUUAGGGUUUUAAACCCUAAACUGAACUUUUUCCAUUCAGCCAGCAUUAAGGUUUUAAACCCUAAACUGAACUCUUUCCUUUAAUCAGGAUUAGGGUUUUAAACCUUAAACUGAACUUUUCCCUUCAGUCAGCAUUAGGGGUUUUAGACCCUAAACUGAACUUUUCCUGUAGUCAGCAUUAGGGUUUUAAACCCUAAACUGAACUCUUUUCCAUUCAGUCAGCAUUAGGGUUUUAAACCCUAAACUAAACUUUUUCCUGUAGUCAGAGUCAGCAUUAGGGUUUCAAACCCUAAACUGAACUCUUUCCAGCCAGUCAGUAUUAGGGUUUUAAACUCUAAACUUAACUUUCCCUUUAGUCAGCAUUA